This 747-nucleotide ribosomal RNA is filed under the name uncultured Caldilinea sp. RNAcentral describes it as "bacterial SSU rRNA". It matches the Rfam family "Bacterial small subunit ribosomal RNA", at positions 72 to 840 of the family's 1533-position model. Lineage: Bacteria; Bacillati; Chloroflexota; Caldilineae; Caldilineales; Caldilineaceae. The record is from RNAcentral.
CGCGGGGCAACCUGGCGGCGAGCGGCGAACGGGUGAGUAACAUAUCGGAACGUACCCUAUCGUGGGGGAUAACACAUCGAAAGAUGUGCUAAUACCGCAUACGACCUGAGGGUGAAAGCGGGGGAUCGCAAGACCUCGCGCGACAGGAGCGGCCGAUAUCGGAUUAGCUAGUUGGUGAGGUAAAGGCUCACCAAGGCGACGAUCCGUAGCUGGUCUGAGAGGACGACCAGCCACACUGGAACUGAGACACGGUCCAGACUCCUACGGGAGGCAGCAGUGAGGAAUAUUGGGCAAUGGGCGCAAGCCUGACCCAGCAACGCCGCGUGGAGGAAGACGGCCUUCGGGUUGUAAACUCCUCUUACGGGGGAAGAGGAAGGACGGUACCCCGAGAAUAAGUCACGGCUAACUACGUGCCAGCAGCCGCGGUAAUACGUAGGUGACAAGCGUUAUCCGGAAUUACUGGGCGUAAAGCGCACGCAGGCGGCGCAUUAAGUCUGACGUGAAAUCUCCUGGCUUAACUGGGAGGGGUCGUUGGAGACUGAUGUGCUUGAGGCGAUGAGAGGGGUGUAGAAUUCCCGGUGUAGUGGUGGAAUGCGUAGAUAUCGGGAGGAAUACCAGUGGCGAAAGCGACACCCUGGCAUUAGCCUGACGCUCAUGUGCGAAGGCGUGGGGAGCGAACGGGAUUAGAUACCCCGGUAGUCCACGCGGUAAACGAUGAAUACUAGGUGUGGGUGGAGUGAAAUCCAU